Molecule: ribosomal RNA, 468 nt
Filed under: uncultured bacterium
Lineage: Bacteria
Description: partial 16S ribosomal RNA
Rfam family: Bacterial small subunit ribosomal RNA
Source: RNAcentral
GACGAACGCUGGCGGCGUGCUUAACACAUGCAAGUCGAACGGAAAGGCCCUGCUUUUGUGGGGUGCUCGAGUGGCGAACGGGUGAGUAACACGUGAGUAACCUGCCCCUGACUUUGGGAUAACUUCAGGAAACUGGGGCUCAUACCGGAUAGGAGCUCCUGCUGCAUGGUGGGGGUUGGAAAGUUUCGGCGGUUGGGGAUGGAAUCGCGGCUUAUCAGCUUGUUGGUGGGGUAGUGGCUUACCAAGGCUUUGAAGGGUAGCCGGCCUGGGAGGGUGAGCGGCCACGUUAGGACUGGGAUGCGACCCAGACUCCUACGGGAGGCAGCGGUGGAGAAUAUUGCACAAUGGGCGGAAGGCUGAUGCAGCAACGCCGCGUGCGGGAUGACGGGCUUCGGGUUGUAAACCGCUUUCGCCUGUGACGAAGCGUGAGUGACGGUAAUGGGUGAAGAAGCACCGGCUAACUACGUG